This is a long non-coding RNA of Dama dama (fallow deer), 2452 nucleotides long. RefSeq lists it as uncharacterized. The record is from RefSeq and is a predicted model, not a curated record. The transcript has 3 exons. NCBI's taxonomy places the organism in Eukaryota, Metazoa, Chordata, Mammalia, Artiodactyla, Cervidae.
CGGCCGGUUCCUGACAGGCCACGGACCAGUCCCGGCGCCUGGCCCCCGCGGGGGCGGGGCUGGGACCCCUGUUCUGAGGCCUGGUCUUUCUGUGUCCUUGCAGCAGUGACUUCUGCUUGCUAAACCUGCGUGCUCACAGAAGUCAACUGGCAGUGACCGGAACUUCCUCAGACUUGGACAGACGACGCUCUUUCACCUGAAAGAUGUCCAAUUCAUCACCAAAUCCUGUCACAUCUAAAUUUCAAAGAUAUCUAUGAUUCUGUGACCUCUCUCCAGCUCCACCGUUAUCUGCCUGGUGCAAGAUGUACCGUUAGGUUGUCUCCGUGUCUUGGCUGUUGUGGAUGAUGCUACAGUGAACACGGGGGUGCAGAAACCUCCCUGAGGUCCUGAUUUCAUCCUUUCAGACGUAUACCCAGAAGUGGGAUUGCUGGAUCAUGUGGUAGUUACAUCUGUAAUUUUUUGAGGAAUCGCCAUACUCUUUUUCACAGUGCUCUACAAAUUUGCAUUCCCACCAUCAGCGCACAAGGGCUGCCUCUCUCUACAUUCUUGCCAAUACUUAAUCUCUUGUUGUUUUGAUAAUAAAUACCCUAAUGGAUAUGAAGUGAUACCUUGUGAUUUUGAUUUGCAUUUCCCUGAUGAUUAGUGAUGUUGAGCAUCUUUUCAUGUACCUGAUGACCAUGUGGAUGUCUUUUUCUUUGGGAAAAAUGUCUGUUCAGAUCCUCUGCCUAUAAUUUAAUUGGAUUAUUUGUUCUUUUGCUGUUGAGUUAUAUUAGUUCUUUAUAUAUUUUGGAUAUUAACCUAAAUACUACCAGUAGAUGAUUUGCUAAUAUUUUCUCUCACCCAUAUGUUGCCUUUUCACCUUAUUCAUUGUUUCUUUUGACAUGUGGAAGCUUUUAAGUUUGGUAUAGGCCUACUCAGAGAGCUCAGAUAACUUGCCGACAGUCACACAUGCAUUAAUGCUAGAAUUAGCAACUCAAACCCAGGAUCUGUCUGUGCUGUCAGCCUUCAUACAGACUACCUCACAUCUCAACAAGGGAAAACAGACUGGACUUGUUUGUGUGACUCCAAACGGGUAGAAUUAGAAGAGAGAUUCAGGGACACAGAUAUCAGCUCAAUAUUCAAAAGUUUUCUCUCAAAAGAAAAAAUUAAAACUGUCCGUUGGAAGAUAGCAGAUGUCCCUCUGCAUAUUUCGUGUCGGUUCGGUGAUGUUCUGUGAUGUCUGAGAAAUCUCAGACUUCAGUACACGUUGGACUCACCUGGGGGAGCUUCGUGGGACAGAUUCCUGCUUUCACCCCUAGAGAUUCAGGUUCAGGUGGGCUGGUGAGACUCGUCAGUUUGCGUUUCUGUCAGGCUUCUGGGUAGUGCCGGUGCUUCUGGUCUAAGAUCAUACAUGGGGAUUUCUUCAGACCCUAAAAUCUUGUUACUUUUAUAGAGUCAUACUCUACAAAGCAGAUGAAUUAUGUGUUCUGCACAACCUCUCUCAAGGAAUGGCAGCCAUAAUGCCCCUAAGCCAUACAACAAGGCUUGUUUGUUUUUCCGAUUUACCAGUCAGUAGAGUGAACCACAUCUUUUAAAGUAGAUGUUCAUGGUUUUCUUUAAAUUCCCAAGGUUUACUCAUAUAUUAGAGACAGUUUUUUUUUAAGAAAUCCAUAUAUAUUUCUGAUAAACAAUGAAUAAAAGCAGACCUCCUUAAAUUAUGAGACAAGAAACUGAUAAAUCUUAUUAGUACAUUCACAUUAUCCAAGAGGAAGUGUAGUUUUCUAACAGUGAUGCACUCUUCAGCCGUCUAGCUCAAUUUGGAUUGAAAAGUAGAAAUGCUAUUGUCUGCCAAGAAAUAAGGACAACGACCAUAUAUUGUAAACUGUACUUCAUUGUUUUCCACAGUGGCAAACAUGGUGUUAAAUAGUGUGAAUUUUUCAAAACUUCUGAACUCUUCUCAUAUCUACCUUUAAGGGCAGCUUUAUCUGUUUUUCACUCCCACUUUUUGAUGAGGUUAAAACUGCUGUCCUUAAAGUAGGCAAAAACACUCCAAAGUAAAAUAUUAAGGAGAAAAAUAGGUCCCUGUGGAUUGCACCGUUGGCGCUCUCCUUCCUGGAGGGCGGCUGAUACAGUGCCUACAGCUGCUUUAUUACACACCGGCUCGUCCUCUGCGCCUCCGAACAGCCAGCAUCUCCAUUUGAGAACCGCAAGUGGCUUUUAAGUGAUAAGAUAGAGUUUAGCUGCUGUAUUUUAUGACAUAAUUCAGUUGGUGUUCCUUUACAGAGUGCCACUGGCUGGCCGACUUUAAACAGUCAUAAACAUUUGAUGGUGGAGUAAUUUAAUUUAAUGAUUUCUUUAAUCUUCAAAUUGCGAGACUGUUUUCAAAAUAUUUUGUUGCCAUGUGAUCUCCUUUCAACCCACAGGAUUAAUAAUUGAUGUUGAAAUAUGGAUGGGAAAAAAAUUGACAAUGGAC